CAGCCGCCGCGGUAAUACGUAGGUGGCAAGCGUUGUCCGGAAUUAUUGGGCGUAAAGGGCUCGCAGGCGGUUUCUUAAGUCUGAUGUGAAAGCCCCCGGCUCAACCGGGGAGGGUCAUUGGAAACUUGGAAACUUGAGUGCAGAAGAGGAGAGUGGAAUUCCACGUGUAGCGGUGAAAUGCGUAGAGAUGUGGAGGAACACCAGUGGCGAAGGCGACUCUCUGGUCUGUAACUGACGCUGAGGAGUGAAAGCGUGGGGAGCGAACAGGAUUAGAUACCCGCGUAGUCCCUGUCUCUUAUAA
Molecule: ribosomal RNA, 301 nt
Filed under: uncultured bacterium
Lineage: Bacteria
Description: partial 16S ribosomal RNA
Rfam family: Bacterial small subunit ribosomal RNA
Source: RNAcentral